This 1034-nucleotide small RNA is filed under the name Pan troglodytes (chimpanzee). RNAcentral's name for it is "processed transcript". The record is from RNAcentral. Lineage: Eukaryota; Metazoa; Chordata; Mammalia; Primates; Hominidae.
GAAGGAAGUUGUCAGUGCCCUGCGCUACUUUAAGACCAUUGUGGACAAAAUGGCAAUUGAUAAGAAGGUACUGGAGAUGCUUCCAGGGUCAGCCAGCAAGGUGCUGGAGGCCAUCUUACCCCUGGUGCAGAACGAUCCUCGAAUUCAGCACAGCUCAGCCCUCUCUUCCUGCUAUAGCCGAGUGUACCAAAGCCUCGCCAACCUCAUUCGCUGGUCUGACCAAGUGAUGCUGGAAGGCGUGAACUCAGAAGACAAGGAGAUGGUGACGACUGUGAAGGGGGUCAUCAAGGCUGUGCUGGAUGGAGUGAAGCCCAGCAGAGCUCCCCCUGACAGACCGCGAGGUAGAGAUCCUAAACAAGACGACUGGGAUGUCACAGUCAACUGAGCUCCUCCCAGAUGCCACGGAUGAAGAGGUCGCACCCCCCAAGCCUCCUCUGCCUGGCAUUCGGGUGGUUGAUAAUAGUCCUCCACCAGCAUUGCCACCCAAGAAAAGACAGUCGGCACCAUCCCCUACCCGAGUGGCUGUGGUGGCCCCCAUGAGCCGAGCCACCAGUGGCUCCAGUUUGCCUGUUGGAAUCAAUAGGCAGGAUUUUGAUGUUGACUGUUACGCACAAAGGCGACUGUCAGGAGGCAGCCACUCAUAUGGUGGAGAGUCGCCCCGCCUCUCCCCCUGCAGCAGCAUAGGCAAGCUCAGCAAGUCAGACGAGCAGCUGUCCUCUCUGGACAGGGACAGUGGGCAGUGCUCCCGGAACACAAGCUGUGAAACACUAGACCACUAUGAUCCCGACUAUGAAUUCCUCCAGCAAGACCUCUCUAACGCAGACCAGAUACCUCAGCAGACGGCCUGGAACCUUAGUCCGUUGCCAGAGUCUUUGGGGGAGUCUGGGUCUCCAUUUCUUGGCCCUCCUUUCCAGCUGCCUCUUGGCAGCCAUCCCCAGCCAGACGGACCUCUGGCCCCAGGGCAGCAGACAGAUACGCCACCUGCUCUCCCCGAGAAGAAGCGCAGGAGCGCAGCCUCCCAGACGGCGGACGGC